This 2295-nucleotide long non-coding RNA is filed under the name Felis catus (domestic cat). RNAcentral describes it as "lncRNA (ENSFCAG00000053836.1)". Lineage: Eukaryota; Metazoa; Chordata; Mammalia; Carnivora; Felidae. The record is from RNAcentral.
GUCAAAUAAGUCAAAUAAGUGUUCAAAUGCAUAUCACACACAGCUUGGUAAGGUGACCUGUGGUUUUCAAUCAGAAUCCGUCUUCCUUUCAUCACUGAUGCCGCUGCACUCACAACGUUUGGUUUAUUCUGAGCGACAGGGGUUUAGCGCAGGUCCUCUGGUCAAAAUCCCAGUUCUCUCACUACAUGCUGUGUGUCUUUGGGCAACUGGCUUAAUCUCUCUUUGGCUUCGCCUCCUCGUUUGUACGAUGAAGGAAAUAAUGGUAGCCCUCAGCUCUUGGAGUUACUUCGAGGAUUAAGUGACUUAGUGCCUGUAAAUCACUUCGAAAAGUAUUUGACAUAUGGCAGUCCUUGAUAAACGUCAGCUAGAGUUACCAUUUUACCUUUUAUUUUGGGUACAGCUUUUAUAGCAGUCUCUCCCCAACUUGUGAAGCCCGUUGGAGACAGGGGCUGGCUUCUUCAGCUCCCUGGUGCCUCUGUGCCUAGCACAAAAGCCCUACCUCAAAAGAGGGACUCAAGACAUGCUGACAUUUUCUACACUGCAUGGGGUAACAGUCAUUGAAACGAUCCUGCUUAGAACCCGUCUUUCCCUCUCCACUUUGUUCUUGGGUUUUCCCUCUUAAUCUUCUGUUUUCAACAGCCGAAAUGGAGCAGCCAAUAACUACCAGACAAGACCACGUGGAAGCUUGAGUGUUAAGUGCCACGUAUUACAAUACUGAUAAAAUGUUGACUUUAUGUUAGUAUCUGUGGGCUACAACAGGUUCCAUGAACGUUGGUAUCCUUUUCUCUCUCUCUCUCUCUUUCUCAAGAAAAAGAUGCCGUUGUUGGUGUGCGAAUCCUGGAAGGAGCCAAGAUUUGGGAAAAUUGUCUCUGCCACCUUCUAAGCUACUCUUCAUAUCAAGUAACACCCAACUCAUGGGAUUGGGACACGUUUUGUGCUCGAAUGAACGACAUCAUAAUAACGGACGACGGCGAUUCUUAGCCCUCCGUCCACCUCUUCACAGAGCGUCCGUACUUUCUAAGCCUUAUUUUGAAGGAGGUGUAAUUUCUACAGAACAGUACCAAGCAGAGAGAACUGUGGAUCUUCACUCACAAGAAAGUCAAAUUAACAACCAACCUGCUUUACUGAGACCUAUCCUGUUUGAGGCACUGUUAUGUUUAGUAUUAAGAAGGUCUAAGUUUUCUCAUCUUUAAAUGGGAAAUAUGAAACUCAAAGAAGUUAACAGCCACAUGCCCAAAGUCAAUCAGUCAGUGGGUAAGUAUCAGCGUUGGGGAUUUUUUUUCUUUUUUUUUAAUGUUUCUUUUUGAGAGGGAGAGAGACAGACAGAGUGUGAGCAGGGAAGGGCAGAGAGAAGAAGACACAGAAUCUGAAGCAUGCGCCAAGCUCCCAGUUGCCAGCACAGAGCCCAGUGCGGGGGGCUUGAACCCACAAACCGUGAGACCAUGACCUGAGCUGAAGUGGCAUGCUGAACCAACUGAGCCACGCAGGUGCCCCUCAGAGCUGGGAUUUUAACCCAGAUCAGUGGAUUAUACAGGAAGACCUCUGACUACCUGUCCACGCUGUGACUGGUAUGUGUGUGUGGAAGGCACUUGCCAUGCCUGUUUAAAAAACGAGUGGAAACAUCAAACAAAGUGAAUUUGCAUGAAAAGAGCAAUGAUGUCUCCAUCUUAUUCAAGACCUUCCAAUACAAAAGGCUUCCUCUAGAUGUCAGUUUCUUCUUCGCUGUUCUGGGGAUAUUGAAUUCACAGUGUGGCUUGGAGACCUAAUUGGUGUAAGACGUGGCGAGACCUGGAAGAUCCUGGCGCGCAGUAGACGGUAAGGAUGAUGACGUUGACCAUGAAGUUGACGACGACGACGAUGAUGAUGAUAAUGAUAACGAUGGCAUAAAUGUGUUUGUAGAGGAGGGGGUUUGAGAAUUCUGAAUUGGGGUCAGACUCAAUAUUUUAACAUGUUUUCCAUACUGAACUGAUGCAUCAAGACUGGGUGGGGCAGCAGGCAAGGUUUCCAGUGUUUUUCUCCACUUCACGUGCACCCUGUACAUUAUGAUCCGUGAUAACUUAGACCAGCAACCUCACCAGCAGAUGGAGAAAUGUCCCUAAUUGGGUCUACCAGCUCUGAAAUCAUACUGGAACCAGCUGGAUUGCCCAAGGUUUCCAGCCUCACGGCUGGUGGAGCAGAAUACUAAGGUCACCUGGAUCUCUUGGGAGUAUUACAAAAGCCUUGUUUCAGGCGUCACCUGGCUCUUUAAAAAUAUUUUUGAAUAAAAUGUAUACAGGCCUCUAUGAAUCUAUGCCC